AUCACUCCUCCUCAAGUCCUGUCAUCAGCUGUCACUUGGUAAGUCAGCACUCGCAAGCACUCGCAAACACUCGGCACUCGGCACUCUCGGCACUCUCGGUACUACCUACCUACCUAGCCCAGCCCAGCCCAGCCUGCCAGCCAGUCACCAUUGAUCAUGGCAUCAGGCAUAGAAUAGUUUCUCUGGCCUAGUUUACAUGUCAGCUGUUGCCUCAGCUGCGUUCAGCGUUCAGUCAGAGCUGAUUGUGAAAUGCGCCAACGUCAUAUUCUGCUAUUGCGCAUCUUCGUGAAUACAACUUAUAGGUUAUGAUUGUACUACGUACAGCUCAGCACCGUCGUGAAUGUCGUAAUCGGUCGUAAUUCCGUCAUGAGUCAACAUUGGGCGACAUGCCAAAAAUAAUAUGGAUCCUUUUGUUGAUUCUACAAGUUUGUUUCAUUGGAAGUACGGUUGGUUCGUUAGGUGACAGGUCGCAGGUAUACAAGCAAUGUCUAGCACUGUGUCGUAAUAACAACUGCAGAGACGAAAUAAAUUUUAAGGAGCAUCCUCCUUUAUUUUUAAUCUUGCUAUACUGGUCUUGCAAGGAAGAUUGUAGUUAUAUUUGUAUAUGGAGAACCGUUGAUUACUUCGUAUCUCAUGGUUUGAACAUACCACAGUUUCAUGGAAAGUGGCCAUUCAUUCGUUUGUUUGGAUGUCAAGAGCCUGCUUCAGUUUUAUUCUCUAUACUAAAUUUGUGUACACAUUGGAUAAUGUAUCGAAAAUUUAAAAGAAGGAUAGAUCAAACCAAUCCUAUGUUCUAUGCUUGGACGUACUUCAAUAUUAUAUGUUUAAACGGAUGGUUUUGGUCAACCGUAUUUCAUUCGCGGGACUGGUCAUUUACAGAAGCUAUGGACUAUUCUUGUGCGUUUAGUAUGGUACUUACACUCUUAUACUGCAUGCUUUUAAGGAUAACAAACAAGGGGACUAAAACAUUUAUUAUAAUAACUUGUGGAUACGUGAGCAUUUUGUGUACACAUUUGUCACAUUUAUGGUCAGGUAGAAUUAAUUAUGGUUAUAAUAUGAUGCUUAAUGUAGCGAUAGGAUUAGCAACUGUCAUGAUAACAAUGCUGUGGUGGUAUCUUAAUCGCAUUAAGUUGCCUUAUGUAUACUUAAUCGCUUGGUUCAAUAUAUUAACUACUUUCGUGACUCUACUCGAGUUGGCAGAUUUUCCUCCUAUUUUUUGGAUAUUUGAUGCUCAUUCCUUGUGGCAUGCUAGUACUGUUCCCUUAACAGUAUUAUUAUAUAGGUUUGUGAUCGCAGAUUGCUGUUAUCUGGAAAAGUAUUGUAACAAAUCAUUUCUAGAUAUCGAUCGUCAUAGGCAAUAAUUUCAAUACAUAAUGCUGGUCUAAGUAGGUCUACUCAAAUACAUACAGGCGUUUUUCUCUUGGGAUGCACUAGGUGUAGCCCAUCUCGCCUUGUAUCUCGCUAGUUGCAUUUAAGCAUUGCACUGCACUGAAGUGAUACACACCAUAGGGGCAGUAUAACAAAUAUUGGCAGAGAGAUCGUAACAUCAUUAGUUUUCGAGAUCGUAACAUCAGUUUUGACAGUCUAAUAAUAUAAAUAUGACAUGUA
Molecule: RNA transcript, 1608 nt
Organism: Acromyrmex echinatior (Panamanian leafcutter ant)
Lineage: Eukaryota; Metazoa; Arthropoda; Insecta; Hymenoptera; Formicidae
Gene: PGAP3
Gene name: Per1-like protein PGAP3
Source: RefSeq, a predicted model, not a curated record